RNAcentral lists this ribosomal RNA (516 nucleotides) under Rhizobium nepotum. Its description in RNAcentral is "partial 16S ribosomal RNA". It matches the Rfam family "Bacterial small subunit ribosomal RNA", at positions 366 to 900 of the family's 1533-position model. Lineage: Bacteria; Pseudomonadati; Pseudomonadota; Alphaproteobacteria; Hyphomicrobiales; Rhizobiaceae. The record is from RNAcentral.
GGACAAUGGGCGCAUUCCUGAUCCAGCCAUGCCGCGUGAGUGAUGAAGGCCUUAGGGUUGUAAAGCUCUUUCACCGGAGAAGAUAAUGACGGUAUCCGGAGAAGAAGCCCCGGCUAACUUCGUGCCAGCAGCCGCGGUAAUACGAAGGGGGCUAGCGUUGUUCGGAAUUACUGGGCGUAAAGCGCACGUAGGCGGAUAUUUAAGUCAGGGGUGAAAUCCCAGAGCUCAACUCUGGAACUGCCUUUGAUACUGGGUAUCUUGAGUAUGGAAGAGGUAAGUGGAAUUCCGAGUGUAGAGGUGAAAUUCGUAGAUAUUCGGAGGAACACCAGUGGCGAAGGCGGCUUACUGGUCCAUUACUGACGCUGAGGUGCGAAAGCGUGGGGGAGCAAACAGGAUUANAUACCCUGGUAGUCCNCCCCGUAAACNAUGAAUGUUANCCGUCGGGCANUANACUGUNCGGNGGCCCANCUANCNCAUUAAACNUUCCCCNGGGGANUACGGCCCCCAAAUUAAACC